This 654-nucleotide long non-coding RNA is filed under the name Mus spicilegus (steppe mouse). Its description in RNAcentral is "lncRNA (ENSMSIG00000028420.1)". Lineage: Eukaryota; Metazoa; Chordata; Mammalia; Rodentia; Muridae. The record is from RNAcentral.
CUGCCCUUUUACACAAACUCCAGAUGUCUGACUCCCUGAACCUGACCGUCCUAAUUAGCAGAGCCCUAAUCUUUCCUUGACCAUCUCCUGUUCAGAAGUAGAGAAGUUAUCCAUCAACAGUCCCUGCCUGGAAAGAGCUUGGCUUCUGCCCUCCACGUGGCAUGCGGAUUUCCUUUUAUCUAAGAGAAAACCUAGGCACCAUCAUGGGUAUCACCGACCCAACUCUGGACAACAUAUGGAUGCAUGCUGCAUCCAUGAACUGUUCACAGGACUCUGGAAACCCCUUCUUUCAUUAAGCAAACAUCUUAAUAAAACGACCUGCCCUCUCCUGCUGUGCAUGUGCAUUGCACACACAGUGGUAAGGCUGAUUGUGCUUAUCCUGACAUGAAUGUCCACAGAGGACUCUGGGCACAACUCUACCACACUAGCAGCAGAUGUGAGUCACUGGAAUAAGUUCUUCAUCAGUAAAGGUGCUGAAAUGUGGAGUCCAAGAGAGCCCCGGCUCUGCACAGAGAAGACACCUGGGAGAUGCUAAUUGAAGACUGAAGAAAAAUGAGAGCAAUUCCAUGGUCUCUGAUCUAAAUUAUACAUUCACCCUCUCCUGGCUCUUUGAGACACAUAAUAGAUGAAUAAAAAGAGCAAAACUUUGGAGCA